CCUCCUGCCACAGUCCAGGGUAGGAGAUACUUCUCCAGGCUCUCACUUAUGGGGGCUUUCCUGCUGGCUACAUCACUGAAAUGGAAUCUCCUAGUGGCCCUUCUCCCUCUACAGCUCUGGUGUUACACUGAAAAACUAGAAGUUUCAAAACAGACAAGGGAAAAAGAGAAACAUCAGAAAGUCUGAUUAAAGUAGAAGCAUCAUAUUUCUAUCAACGUAUCCACUGUGCUUGGACUCUGUAAUAUUCACCGGCAGGAAAACCCAAGGGAAUGACUACUAUGACAUCUGAUGUGAAUUUUUGCCACCUUCAAUGAGAAAGACUGAAACAAAAAACUCAGAAGAAAGAAAGAGACUGAGAUAGCAAAUAUGACAAACUGUUAAAAAUUCAUGAAUCUGUUAUGGAAUACUAUGCAGCCAUAAAAAAGGAUGAGUUCCUGUCCUUUGCAAGGACGUGUAUGAAGCUGGAAACCAUCAUUCUGAGCAAACUAAAACAGGAACAGAAAACCAAACACCACAUGUUCUCACUCAUAAGUGGGAGUUGAACAAUGAGAACACAUGGACACGGCGGGGUGGUGGGAACAUCACACACCGGGGCCUGUCAGAGGGGAGGGGGCUAGGGGAGAGAUAGCAUUAGGAGAAAUACCUAAUGUAGAUGAUGGGUUGAUGGGUGCAGCAAACCACCAUGGCAUGUGUAUACCUAUGUAACAAACCUGCAUGUUCUGCACAUGUAUCCCAGAACUUAAAGUAUAAUAAUAAAAAGAGAGAUUAAAAAAAUUGGUGAAUCUGGGCAAAAUGUACACAGGAUUUUUCUGUACUGUUCUUGCAACUUUUCUACAGAUUUGAAAUGUUACAAAAUAAA
This 859-nucleotide long non-coding RNA is filed under the name Homo sapiens (human). Its description in RNAcentral is "HSALNT0292568". The record is from RNAcentral. Lineage: Eukaryota; Metazoa; Chordata; Mammalia; Primates; Hominidae.